GUGCCAGCCGCCGCGGUAAUACGGAAGGUCCGGGCGUUAUCCGGAUUUAUUGGGUUUAAAGGGAGCGCAGGCGGAAGGUUAAGCGUGACGUGAAAUGUACCGGCUCAACCGGUGAAUUGCGUCGCGAACUGGUCUUCUUGAGUGAGUACGACGGAGUCGGAAUUCGUGGUGUAGCGGUGAAAUGCUUAGAUAUCACGAAGAACGCCGAUUGCGAAGGCAGUCUCCGAGUCCUUAACUGACGCUAAUGCUCGAAAGUGCGGGUAUCGAACAGGAUUAGAUACCCUGGUAGUCCGCACGGUAAACGAUGGAUGCCCGCUGUUGGCGAUAUAGUGUCAGCGGCCAAGCGAAAGCGUUAAGCAUCCCACCUGGGGAGUACGCCGGCAACGGUGAAACUCAAAGGAAUUGACGGGGGCCCGCACAAGCGGAGGAACAUGUGGUUUAAUUCGAUGAUACGCGAGGAACCUUACCCGGGCUUGAACUGCAGGAGAACGAUUCAGAGAUGAUGAGGCCCUUCGGGGCUCCUGUGGAGGUGCUGCAUGGUUGUCGUCAGCUCGUGCCGUGAGGUGUCGGCUUAAGUGCCAUAACGAGCGCAACCCCUUUCUUCAGUUGCCAUCAGGUUAUGCUGGGCACUCUGGAGACACUGCCACCGUAAGGUGUGAGGAAAGUGGGGAUGACGUCAAAUCAGCACGGCCCUUACGUCCGGGGCUACACACGUGUUACAAUGGGUGGUACAGAGAGUCGGUGCAAUGCAAAUUGUAUCCAAUCAUGAAAGCCAUCCUCAGUUCGGAUUGGGGUCUGCAACCCGACCCCAUGAAGCUGGAUUCGCUAGUAAUCGCGCAUCAGCCAUGGCGCGGUGAAUACGUUCCCGGGCCUUGUACACACCGCCCGU
RNAcentral lists this ribosomal RNA (889 nucleotides) under uncultured bacterium. RNAcentral describes it as "bacterial SSU rRNA". It matches the Rfam family "Bacterial small subunit ribosomal RNA", at positions 505 to 1397 of the family's 1533-position model. The record is from RNAcentral.